This is a long non-coding RNA of Mercenaria mercenaria, 2304 nucleotides long. RefSeq lists it as uncharacterized. The record is from RefSeq and is a predicted model, not a curated record. The transcript has 12 exons. Lineage: Eukaryota; Metazoa; Mollusca; Bivalvia; Venerida; Veneridae.
CAAUAACUUUUUGAACCUACAUCUAUAGAACUUCCAUGCAUUUGCUAAACAUUUGUUUUAAAAAUGCCUCUUUUUAUAGUGAAAUCUGUGUAGUAACAGUACAGACCAGGAAGUUCAGAAAUGAAAAGAUGCAGGUCUAACUUGUUCAACACACUGCAUGAAGGAAACAUAGUGAAAACAUUUCACAAAUAAACAUGACAUCUGUGAAGUUCAUACAUGUACUAGUAGCAGUACAGGCCAUGGUGAUCAGAUAUGAAGAGAUGCAGGUCUACAUUGUUCAACACAGUGUAUGAGUGAAACAGAGUGGAUGGUAAGGAUAGAAAACAUUUCACAAUUUUACAAUGAUCAAGUUGCCUGUGAUGACAGUUCUUGCCAACUGAAGCGGAAUUCAGCAUUAUAGAUGAAAACUUUGAAGUAUCAGUACAGACCAUGAACUUCAGAAAUGAUGAGAUGUGGGUCUGAUUUGUUCAACACAGUGUUUGAGGGAAACAUAGCGGAUGGCAAGAAUAGAUAAAAUUUCACAAUUCUAGUUGUACAAUGAUCAAGUUGCUUGAGAUGACUGUUCUUGUUGUGGCUCUAGUACCAGCUGAAGAGGAAUUUUGUUUUAUAUUUGAAAACUGUGAAGUAUCAGUACAGACCAUGAAGUUCAGAAAUGCGGGUCUAAUUUGUUCAACACAGUGUUCAAGGGAAACAUAAUGGAUGGCAAGGAUAAAUAACAUUUCACAAGUUGGUUAGUGAUGCAGGAACUUGGACCUCUGCCACCAGGAGUUAGAGUUGGAACCAGAGCAUACAUAAGACUUAGAGCAGUAUCCAUCAUUACAAGCCACAGUCCAAUCUAAGACAUAAUUGCCAAACGUUAUGAACAUGUGGUGCUAAAUAAACUGUUGGGAGGUCAUAGUCUCAUAGCUAAACCGAUAACCUAAGAGAGGCACUCUGUCCAUUCUUCCUGCGGCUGGCAAUGAUUGGUCAGUCUUGUUGUUUGGUUUGUUUCCUAACAGAUGUUUAGGCCUGGAGAAUCCCUUACAGUCAGGGAGGGAUAGUGUUGAGCUGUCUGCAGACAUCUUGUUCACCAGGGAGAACUCGUCAACAUUCAUCCAUGUCAUCGGAAGAGAAUACAGUCAGUAUUAAGCCUAUGUUCCAGGGAGUAUGACCCUCUUGGAAAUGUGUUUAUUUAAAAAAAAAUUCACCUUUUCUUUUCAUGGUUGUUUGGAUCAGUAUGUAAUGAAGCACAUAGCUUUAUGAAGAGAGUGACUAUGUAUUAUUUUAUUUACAAUGUAUAGUGAAACUUCUGUAUUAGACAGAAUAAGAAUUUUUCUGAUCUUUGCUGCAUUAUGAUAUUUAAAUGUUAUAAUAUAAAAAAGUUGGUUCUUUUUUCUUCUAUUUUUUCAAAAAAAAAAAUUCUUGCAGAAUUUUAAAGCAUAAACUUUUUAAGUCAGUUUCAGUUUGUAGUAAGUGGAAAAUUGGGUGUAUUAGUUUAAAAAUACACCAUGUACCUUAAAACUAUGAAAUGUUGUUGGGUAUCUGGAAACUCGAAAUACAGUCAGGCUUAAACUUUGUAUAAAAUUCUAUGAAUCAUCUAAAGAAAUAUUACGUGUUGAGAGUUUAACAUAAAUAUUGUGGUGUCACAUAUAAGUAUACUGCAUGUACACUUUAGCAAAUUCUACUGUGUUAUUUUUUUGUAAUUUUAUGAAUGUUUUCUGAUCAAGUAAGGUAUUCACUUACCUUCAGUUUGCCAUUAGAAAGAAGUUGGUAUUGUUCUGCUAGUAAGACACAGAAUAUUAUGCGUGUAAGAUUACACAACUAUAUAUUGCAUUUACUUCCUUUUGUAAAGGCAGUGCAAUAAGGUAAUGUAACACUACUGGUGAGAUCAUUUUAUAAUUGUUUUGUAAUUUGAAAUAAACAAAUAUUUCAGGCUGGUUGGAGCAUAUGUAUCAGGUAGUUACACAGGAUACAGAAGAUCCCUGUAAUAAGCUACUAUACCAUAAAUGUAGAGAUCUCUAACCAGAUCACAGAGUGUGUGUGUGUUAUGCUGUGCUGAGAUAUUGCUUUGACAUAUGGUGGAUUAAGGUCCACAACCAGGUAUUGUAUGAGUUGACAACUGUACAAGACAUCCUUUUGAAGACAGUUCUGAGUGAGCAACAGCCCAAGACACCUUGUUAAUGCUGCCCUGUUAUCUACUGAGUUUCUACAUACAAGUCAAGUAUCCAUCAAAGAUUGGCCAUGGUGUUUACAGAACUGAAAGCCAAGCUGUGAUUUUUGAAAAUGUAUUAUAAAGUUCUAAAUGGAAAUACAAUUUGAAAAGCA